Long non-coding RNA from Sarcophilus harrisii (Tasmanian devil), 3258 nucleotides. NCBI's taxonomy places the organism in Eukaryota, Metazoa, Chordata, Mammalia, Dasyuromorphia, Dasyuridae. The record is from Ensembl.
CCAAGAGUGAGGCACCCAGGACCACAGGCACAGACAACAGGAGGCACCGACACUUGCCCCACGGAAAGGUCAACCUCAGCCUAGAGCCAACACCAAGGAGCGAGGCUGUGACCAAAAAUAUUCCAAAGCUGGGGGCAGUGUGUCAAUUACCAAUGGAAAAACCAUCGAGUUCCUCAGCUUCUGAGAGGCUCAGGAGUCACCACUCUGAGAGAAGAGUGAGCCACAGUUGCAGUGGGAGGCACAGCAGCCACGACUCAACUAACCAACAGCAUCAGACCCAGAGGAAAUGCCGGGGGCCAACACUGUAUUCCCAGAAACAAACUCAGCCUUUGUCACAGGAGAGACCGACCAUAAACACCAGAUCAGGGGACCAAGCUAAAUACAAUCAACACAAUCGAUGUGAACAGGAGGCAAUAGGACCGUUGCCUGACAAGAGACCUCGACAUUAUCACCCCCGAAGAUCAGGAUCGAGGAAAAACAAGGGCAGAACUUCGCACAAGAGAAAUUCCAAGAAAAGGUCAAGAGGAAGAGGCCGAAAAUAGGAACAGAGGAAAAGAGCCAUGUGAAAAAAAAAUACACCUCUUAGGGUCUCCUGAUUCCCUUGACCUCUCCUCCCUCCCCACUAAUGAACAAAAAGACUGUGGGGCUGAGGGAAAGUUUGUUUUGACAUAAUUAAAAAGACCCUAAAUCUUCCCCCUUCUUUUAUUUUAAAUCUGUGCCAAAUUUUCUUCUAAUAGAUUCCUUGAGUUUCCCCCAAGCCAGGACCACUUCCUCGCUGAAAAGUAUAGGGUGUGGAAUUGCUUCCAGAGUCUUAUAUGGCACUAUCCUAACUAAAAGGAUCCUAAAAAUGAGAUUCGUCAUCUAGGUGGCACAGUGAAUAGAGCACCGAGCCUCGAGCAGGAAGAACUGAGUUCAAAUUCAGUCUUAGACACUUACUAGCUGUUUGACUCUGGACAAUUCACUUCAACCUUUUUGCCUCAGUUUGCUCUCUGUAAGAUGAAUUAGAAAAGGAAAAUCUUUACCAAGAAAAACCCAAAAGGGAUCACAGAGAGUCGGACACAACUGAAAAAUAGCUCAACAACAAGGAAAGAUUCUGAGAGACUCAUUCUACCCCUCCAUCAGCCACACUAGACCUGUGGGGAUGGGGAGAAGGAGGAGAGAGGAAGAUCCUGAAACAGCUUUUUUUGGUCAUAGACAUGGCCAGGAUUGAGAAUUGUCUUAAGGAGAUGCAUGGAAGCAGGAGAACAGAGAUCAACCAGAACCCAAACUCUGGGGUUGGAGGUUCUCCUAAUUAGAGUAAAUAGCUAUAGUACUGUGACUAGAAAUUCUAGUACUUAAGUCCAGUUUAGGAGGAUAAUCAUUAAUAAUGGCUAAUAUUUGUGUAACACUUUAAAGUUUGCAAAUAUAACUAUAUUUGUUUGCAACUAUGUUAUUGUACAUAUAUCAUCCCAUUUGAACAUCAUAAAAAAGCCCAAGAGAUUAGAAGAUGUUAUUUUCAUUUUUCAGAAGAAGAAACCAAGACUUGAGGGUUAAAUGACUUGCCCCUUUGACUGCAAAGACAAUAAAGGUGUAAGGUGUGUGAGGUAUGAUUUGAACUCAAGUCUUUUUGAUUCUCAAACCCAGCACUUUUAUCCACUACACUACCUAUCCCAGUUGAUGGAGCUGUACCUCAGCAAGUUAUUUGCAUAGAAAAGACAAAGUCAUUCUUUAUUGUAACAAUCAGGCCCAUACUUGAGACAAGCCUGGAUUAUCCCAUGUGACUAUGAGAGUAAGUCCCUUCCAAUUUAAGGUGUACUGAGUUGAAAAUGCUGAUACCAGAGCAUACUCUUUAGAACUAACUGAGUGAUUCGUGAGAGUGAUUACUGGUGAGUGGCCAAGGUAGACUGGGACUGGAAGAAAUGAAGAAAAUUGGAGGUCACUUCAUGAAGGUAAAGGUGAAGGAAAAAGAUUGAGGUAGGUUACUGGAAGGGUUACUGAGGUAGGUUAUUGGAAGGGAAGGAAGGAUGACCUGAAGGUCCAUGGAUGAGUUGAACAGGAUGGAGUGCAAGUUAAAGAGGUUCCUGGGUGGUGAUGGUAGUGUGGUAGAAAGUGGGAGUUUUAAAGUGGCAGUAGGGGAGCAAGAACUGAGCCAAUUCCUCCUCCUGGUUUUAUGUGUUAAGAAUAGUAUAAGAGAAGAAAUGGUCAACUUUGAAGAAAUCAACUUUAUAUCUCCAGCUAAUGGUGCCUGGCACAUAGGUGAUAUAUAUAUAUGACAAUUAGGGUUAAAUGACUUGUCUAGGGUCACAUAGCUACAAAGUGUUAAGUGUCUGAUAUAAGAUUUGAACUCAGGUCCUCUUAACUUCAGGGUUGGUGCUCUUUCCACUGUGCCACCUAGCUGCCCCAUAAUUAAUAAAUUCUUGUUGUUUAUUUGGAAGCAUACAAGGAGGGAAGAAAGGUGGGGGAGGAAAAAACAGAAAGAUAGAGUGAGGAGAAAAAGGGGGAGAAAGCGGUAAGGGGGAAGGAGAAAGGAAGGGAGGAAGAAAAAGGAAAAAAAAGCUUGUAGUAGAAGAAAAAGAUGGGAUCAGUGAGGAAGGCUUAGUCUUGGCAAGGAAGUGGGCCAUCUCAUCCUCUGGUACUGGAACAAUGGAGAAGCCCAUGGAAUGGAAGACAUAGACACAUUUUGUGGUAGGGAAGAGGGGAGAUGAAGCUGCUUACAGUGAGUGUAGAUAGGUGUUCUUGACCUCAGCAAAAUUAUAAAGUGAGGUCAUUCAUACCUGUGGUAUCAAACUCACCCAGAAACUGGAGUCACUGAGCAGUAUAGUGGCUUAGAAAACCACCUAUUAGCACCUAUCUUCUAUUAUCAUUUAUUUCAUUAAAUAUUCCCCAAUUAUAUUUUAAUCUGGUUCAUACCACUCCAGAGUAUUGAGUAUCAGGGGCCACAUGUUUGACUCCUCUGAAAUAAUUUGAAAGUUGGAGAAAAGAGGUUUAGAACAGAUGGAUGAGAGGAGUAUGCUAGCAAGUCAAUCAGAAAUGAAAAAAGGAUUGUAUGGUUAGCUAGCAUGAGUUUAUAGUGAGCUCAGCAAGAUUUAUUGAAUUCUCUAGCAGCAGCAGGAGGUGGGUGUUAAGGUAACAAAAAAAGCUGAUAAUGGGAUUAUAGAAAGGCAGAAUUUAGAUUUAACCCAUGAUCCAUGGCCCUCAAGAGACUUCACAUGAAUUGGGACCAAUCUCUGGGGCUGACCCCAGAAAGGAAUCUUUCUGGCUCAGUAUAUCUACUAAUGA